Molecule: ribosomal RNA, 433 nt
Filed under: uncultured bacterium
Lineage: Bacteria
Description: partial 16S ribosomal RNA
Rfam family: Bacterial small subunit ribosomal RNA
Source: RNAcentral
AGCGAACGCUGGCGGCAGGCCUAACACAUGCAAGUCGAACGAACUCUUCGGAGUUUGUGGCGGACGGGUGUGUAACACGUGGGAACGUGCCUUUAGGUUCGGAAUAACUCAGGGAAACUUGUGCUAAUACCGAAUGUGCCCUUCGGGGGAAAGAUUUAUCGCCUUUGGAGCGGCCCGCGUCUGAUUAGCUAGUUGGUUAGGUAAAGGCUCACAAAGGCGACGAUCAGUAGCUGGUAUGAGAGGAUGAUCAGCCACAUUGGGACUGAGACACGGCCCAAAAUCGUACGGGAGGGAGCAGAGGGGAAUCAAGCGCAAUGGGGGAAAGGCUGAAGAAGCCAUGGCGGGAGAAUGAUGAAGGUGGUAGGAUAGUAAAAUUGUUUAAACGGGGAAGAUAAUGACGGUACCCGGAGAAGAAGCCACGGCUAACUACGUG